AUCUAUGGCCAUAGCACCAUGAAUUCACCAAUCUCAUCUGAUCAUAGAACCUAAGGAGGGUCAAGCCUGGUUAGUACUUGGAAGAAAGAAAGUGGUUACCUGAUUCCCCAGUACUGAGAUU
RNAcentral lists this ribosomal RNA (121 nucleotides) under Meriones unguiculatus (Mongolian gerbil). The record is from RNAcentral. Lineage: Eukaryota; Metazoa; Chordata; Mammalia; Rodentia; Muridae.